Caretta caretta (loggerhead turtle) is the source of this 4271-nucleotide non-coding RNA. Lineage: Eukaryota; Metazoa; Chordata; Testudines; Cheloniidae. The record is from RefSeq and is a predicted model, not a curated record.
AGUGCAAAACACAGACACACACGCUCCCUCCCUCCCUUUCACUGAAUUAAGACCUAAAGGUUGUGUUGCCUAUCUACAUCUCUCGCUGAUAGCUAAACUACUGCUGUAACUAUUUAAUAGUUGGAGCGGGCUUCCCUGCUCUGGAAGGGAGACAGGCCCAGACAUGCCAGACGUUGUGGAAGGGAGAUGAGAAGGAAUCCAGAGGAGAAUCUACUUGUGCAGCUGGGGAGCAAAGCGUGAAAGCUGCAAACACAAGUGAGUGAGGGGAAAGGUGACUGAGUGUGGAUAGCUGCCUUUCCCUGAAGCCAGACUCCCAAGGGACGGCAUGUAGGGUAAGACCAUAUUUUCCCAAAAAGGAAAAUGGGACACCCGUAGGCUGCCCUCCCCGCACACACAGACAUGUGGCCGACCUAAGCCCUCCCUGCCUCCUGCCCUUGCAGGGCCAGCCUGAGGUCCCCUUCCCCACUGGUGCCUGGGGCUGGCCUGAGCCAUUCUGCCUCCUCCCUGUGACCCCCCCAGUCAGAGCCCCCUGCCACUUGCCCACAACCCCCCGGGUCCUCUUCCCCCAGGCACGGAGCUGGUCCAAGCCCCCACUUCACCCCUGUGCGCAGGGCUGGUCCUCCAAGCCCUGCUGCAUGCCUGCCUGCGCGGCUGGUGGUCUGAGCCCCCGCAGCUGCAUGCCCCCUUGUCUGCUCUCCCUAGCCCUCCCUCCAGCGCAGGGCUGACGUUGCCACUCUCCCGCCGCCCCCCAUGUUACUCCGCGCCCCGCUAGGGGUCCCACAUGCAGGGGGGAGUGUGUGUCGGCAGUGAGGUGAAACGAGGGGGUGAGCGGGGACCCCCUUCUCUGGGGGCUGCCCCCAGUGCCAGGCAGGGGGCACAGCAAGUGCAUGGAGGAGGUGGGGCACACCCUGCCCUGGCUUCUCACCCAUGCAAGGCGGGAGUGCUGCCCAGGAGACGCGGGAUGGCGGGGCAGGAGGGGCAGUGGAGCCUGGGCUGCUCCUAGGCACACUCUCGCUGCCAAUCCCUGGCGAUGCUGCUUCUGCUGGAGGAGGCAGCGAGGGAGAUUCCGGCGGGGGCAGGCUCUGGGGAGAGAGAAGGGGCAUGGCCGCUUGCUGCCCCCUCUGCUGGCUCUGUGCCGCGAUCCCAGAAAAUACGGGACCAUUUGCCCGUAUUUAACAGAAAGUCGGGACACCUGGAAGAAGGCUUAAAUAUGGGACUGCCCUGUUAAAAACGGGGCAUCUGGUCACCCUAAAGGACAAGAUGGCGUUAGUGUGAGCCAGGACAGGGUUUUCAGGCAAGCUGGGUUAUCUGCUCUUGCCAGCCGGGCCUUUCACAGCAUAUUCUAGUGUCUCUCAUUUCAGGAUCUAAUUCUGCUCCCCGGAGAGUCCUGCCCUGUGACACUGGCCUCACGUUCUUUGACUCAGGACGUAGCUAAAUCGCAGCCAGUUGUGCUAGGAACUCUUGUUCGGAGGAGAUGAUGCAUUUGACCCCUCUUGUCUGCCCCACGGCUGACCCUGGGAGUAGCUGGAAUGCAGCCACACGGCAUGUUUCUAGCCUGCAGUGAGACUGAGCUGAGCCUCUGUCUCAGAAAGCACCUGCUGCUCUCCGGUCCCGUCAGCCGGGAGCCCCACGUUCGAAACCCCUGCAAAGCUGUGGCCAGUGGGGGCACCUGAACGCUCCUGCUCAGCAAAGCGAUGCAGCCGCACUCUUCCCACCCUGGUGCCUCUUGGCUACUGUGCAGCAAGGUCUCUAACCCUCAGGCCUGGGCCACACGACAGAGUUAGGGUGACCUAACUGUAUAAGUGUCUGCACUACAAUGUUCCUCCCACUGAUGCAAGUCGUCCACUACACCCACCUAAUACUCCACCUCAGCAAGAGGCAUAGCGCUUAGUUCAAUGUAGUUAGGUUGACACAGUAGCAGUGUAGACACUGUGUUACUGACGUCAACUUUAGUGGCUUCCAGGAGGUAUCCCACAAUGCCUCACUGUGACCCCACUGGUCAUCGUUUUGAACUCUGCUGCUCGGCGAGCAGGUACACAAGAACAUAUAUCUUCCCCCGCCCCCCCCUUUUAAAGCCCCAUGAACUAUUGAAAUUCCAUUUCCUGCUUGGUCGGCAUGGAGAGCUCACGUAGCAACUGUCCAGCUGACCACGCCGGCUCCAUGCAGUAAACGUGCUCCUGCCUGGAGUGCGCAGGAGGUGGUAGAUCUCCUGGGUCUGUGUGGAGAGGAGUCUGUGUCGGAACUUGGAUACCUAUGGCCAGAUCGCUCAGGGCAUGGGGGAGAAGGGCUACAACAGGGACACGUAGCAGUGCCGUGUGGAAAUCAAGGAGCUGCGACAGGCGUACCUGAAGGCAAGGGAGCCAAACAGUCACUCUGGUGUGCCACUUCUACGAGGAGCUGCAUGCCAUUCUCAGCAGUGACCCACCGCCAUCCCCAAGGUCCUUGUGGAUACUUCAGGGGAGCUGGAGUCACAGGCCACAGAAGCGAACCCUGAGGAGGAGGAGUAUGGCAGACAGAUGACUGGGCGGGGGUGUCCAGCAAGCCAGGACCUCUUUUUGACUCCUGAGCAGUCAAACCACUCCCAGCGGUCCAGCACUGGCGAGCCUGAUGCAGGGGAAGGGACCUCUGGUAAGUAUGCAGUUUGCUUCAGUAUUGCAGGGACACAUCUGUUCAGGUACUAUUUAUUUAAAUCAGGCUAGAAGAGGUGGUGAAAUAAACAGUGGAGGUAGAGUUGCUAUCUGCUUCUCAUUCCCCUGUACAGCUAGGCAUAGGGGGCCCUGUGGAACAGUUUGUUUAUGUGCACCAGGACGUCCCGUGAAUCCUCCAUAGAGAUCUCAAGGAAACUUUGCUGGAAGCAGUCUGCAAUCCUCUGCCAAAGAUCUCUGCGGAGGGCUGCCUUAUUUCUUCCACUGCAGUAGGACACUUUCCCAUGCCAGUCAGCAGGCACCAUUGCAGCACACAGACUAGCAGCAUAUAGACACAGUCUGCAGCAGAAUGUCCCCCUCUCCCCUGGGCCGUGCUCACCAUGGCGGGGACUGCCGCCGUGCUCUGUGAAUCCCAAGGAGAAGUGAGAAUGUUGUGCUUGUAACAAGUGUGGAUCAAGGGGAGUGAAUGCACUCACAAUAGUAUCUCUGUCCAUUGUUUCUUUAGCCGCUGCAAAUGUGGCCUUGAGGGUCUCUCAUGCCACACUGGUAGAGCGGCUUGACCAGAUACAGAGGAGAAAGAAAAGCACAAGGCAAUCCCGCGUUGAUGUCGGUGAAACGACCCUGGUGAUCCACCAGAGCUUCCAAUACCAUAGAAAAGUAGCCUUUCUGUUGAUGUAUUCCAUGGCAAGGUGGACUGGUGCCAAAAUCGGGCUAUGCAUGCCAUCUAUCAUCCCACCACAGCUUGGGAACAUCAUUGCUGCAAAACCAUCCACAGAAGGGCAACUGAUUUGGUGGAUGGGGGAAUGCAGUUGACAUCAUUUACCUGGACUUCAGCAAGUCUUCUGACACAGUCCCACAUGACAUUCUGAUAAGUCAGCUGGAGAAAUGUGAGCUCGGCGGAACUACUGUUAAGCUGAUACAUAAUUGGUUGAACAACAAAGAGUCACUAUUAAUGGGAUGAUGUCAGAUGGGUGGGAGGUCUCACGUGGGGUUCCAUAAGGAUCUGUUCUGGGUCUGGUCUUGUUUAACACCUCUAUAAAUGACCUGGAUGUAGGAAUAGGGAGCAUACUGACCAAAUUUGCAGAUACCACAAAGCUCGGGGGGUUGCCAACACAUUGGAGGAUAGAAAUAAAAUUCAGAGGGAUCUUGAUAAAUUGGAGCACUGGGCUAUUGACAACAAAAUUAAAUUCAGCAAAGACAAAUGUUAAGGUGAUACACUUAGGGAGGAAUAACCGAAUGCACAAAUACAGAAUGGGCAUAGGCGGCAUGUAACUCUCUCAUUUAGGGAGGCUUACGGGAGCACCAGAAGCUCGCUAGCAGUGGGGGGGCACCAGUGCCCGGACCAUGGCCUCAUCCUCUGCUCUGCGCCGAGGCUCUUCCCUGUGAGGCUCUGCCCCCGCUCUGCCACUUCCCCUGAGGUCCUGCCUGAUUGCUGCUCGCUCCUCUCUGCCCCCUCCCCCCCGUUGCAUGCCCUUAAGUUGGAAAAUAAAGAGAUGGGGCCAUGGCCCCUUGGCUCCCCCUGUUCCAGCACCCCUUAACUGAGUUGCUCUGGCAUCAGUACACACAGCCUCCCAGUGGCUGGCCCAGCUGUGGGACUCCUCUUCCUGUUGUGCAUGGGGAGGGAGU